AGCCUGGUAUCCCCCACCUGGGUUUCUGGGUUCACUAGAUCUGAGGUGGGACCUUGAUAUAUACAGGUGUUUCUGAGGUGUGUCCCAGGUUGAGAACUGAUGACUUUCUUUUUUUUUUUUUUUUUUUUUUUUGUGAGCCAAAGAUUUAUUUCUUCAUUUCUUGCAUUUGAAAUACUCUUCGAUGACAUCCUUGGCCUGAGACUCCUUGCCAUAGUCCUUAACUACUACACAACUAUGGGCUUGGCGCUUGUCUAAG
This 256-nucleotide long non-coding RNA is filed under the name Homo sapiens (human). RNAcentral's name for it is "HSALNT0178251". Lineage: Eukaryota; Metazoa; Chordata; Mammalia; Primates; Hominidae. The record is from RNAcentral.